CAAACGGUCCUGUUCAGGACCACCGUUAAUUAUUCCUUAAGAGUUUGU
Non-coding RNA from Aedes albopictus (Asian tiger mosquito), 48 nucleotides. The record is from Rfam. NCBI's taxonomy places the organism in Eukaryota, Metazoa, Arthropoda, Insecta, Diptera, Culicidae.